RNAcentral lists this ribosomal RNA (477 nucleotides) under uncultured bacterium. RNAcentral describes it as "bacterial SSU rRNA". It matches the Rfam family "Bacterial small subunit ribosomal RNA", at positions 28 to 520 of the family's 1533-position model. The record is from RNAcentral.
GACGAACGCUGGCGGCGUGCUUAACACAUGCAAGUCGAGCGGUAAGGCCCUUUCGGGGGUACACGAGCGGCGAACGGGUGAGUAACACGUGGGUGACCUGCCCUCAGCUCUGGGAUAAGCCUGGGAAACCGGGUCUAAUACUGGAUAUGACUCCAUGACGCAUGUUGUGGGGUGGAAAGCCUUGUGCGGCUGAGGAUGGGCCCGCGGCCUAUCAGCUUGUUGGUGGGGUGANGGCCUACCAAGGCGACGACGGGUAGCCGGCCUGAGAGGGCGACCGGCCACACUGGGACUGAGACACGGCCCAGACUCCUACGGGAGGCAGCAGUGGGGAAUCUUGCGCAAUGGGCGAAAGCCUGACGCAGCGACGCCGCGUGAGGGAUGACGGCCUGGUUGUAACGUACUUCUAGCUCCGACGACGGACGAGAGUGACGGUAGGAGGACGAGAAGAAGACGACCGGACCGAACCGUAACCGUACG